Molecule: long non-coding RNA, 1346 nt
Organism: Pocillopora damicornis (cauliflower coral)
Lineage: Eukaryota; Metazoa; Cnidaria; Anthozoa; Scleractinia; Pocilloporidae
Source: RefSeq, a predicted model, not a curated record
UAAGAAUGUGCGUAGUGAAUGGAAAGUCACUCAGUUUGAGUACUUCGAAGAGGAAACAUCACAAAUAUUUCAGCCUGCUCAGAGGACCCUUAAGAAUGGCUCAAACUGGAUUGAUUCUUGUUCCUUUACUCCUGUUGUCCAUCGUGAUUCUAGUUAAGAUUUCCUAAUAUGCAAAUCUGUAAAUCAAAACCUGGAACAUUUUAUAGUGUAGUGGACAAGGGACGGGAGCCUGGGAAAAUUAGAGCCCGGAGGAGUACUGGGAUGAGAAAGGAAAAGGAAGGAAUCGGAAAGAAUGCGACAGAAACCACAUCAUCACAAGAGAGAUACCCCAACACUAGCACCACUACUGUAAGACCCAAAUUCCCCGAUCUUCUUGUCGUUAAUGAAUUCGUUUUCUUAAUUAUUAUCUUAGUGCAGAGCAGAUCUGCAGAAAUCUGUGACUCAGAGUCAGAAAUCCAGCACCUUGCCACAAAAACCCUACCUACUACAGGAGCCGCAUGGUCAAAAACAGUGCAAAUAACAACGUGUUACCCCAAUGACCGGCACAGGAAAACACAAUGUAGAUACCGAUGCGAAACUUUUUGCAGGAGUUCAGCCAAAUGGAGAGAUUGCAUAGCCUUCGCAUCGCAGGUUAAAGCUGAUUACAACUCAGAUCGCCUUUGCUGGGGAUACAAAUCUCUCCCCUCCUUUGGAUCUGAUGUUUCAAUUGGAGAGGCCACUUACUUAAAUGGUUGGUGUGUAUCAGAAUUUUUCAGCAAUGGGAUGACGUUUUAAGUGCCCAGACUCCAGUCCUCUCCGCUCCGAAGACAUUUAACAAGGCUUCUUGGCCGCCAGCUUAGUCAAGUGUCUAACUUAAGUGCAGCAUGUGAUUCGUUUAAUAAAUUUGUAAUAAUAAUCGAGUUGGGAAUUGAUUAGAUCUGUCUUUGUUCUGCAUCACUGUUUAUUUAGUAAGGCUGCUUAUCAAGAUAAACAGAGUUCAAGUGUACAAUAUAAUGCUGGUGUGUUAUCUCACUUGGUACCUAAACUAGGAAAGGUUACGUAGGAAUUAGGUGCGGACUAAAAUGAAUAAUCGACUGAUAACUGAAACUUGUUUGUCUCAGUCUCUUAACAAAGACUGGGAAUUGCUAUAGUGGACUCAAAUAGUCCAACAUUGAAAACUAAGCACAAAAAUACAACUUUCCCAAAAAUCCUUGAAAAGAAACCACAUUCUUAACUAAUGGAAAUCAAAUUUCCUUGAUUUUCUCUGUUUGUGGAAAAUUUAACCAAACCUUAUCUUAUGUGAGAGAUUUAGUAAACUGUACAGGAACCAAGGAUGUUUGUUUGUAAUACAGGAGAGUUGUUAUGUA